This 491-nucleotide ribosomal RNA is filed under the name uncultured Sphingobacteriales bacterium. RNAcentral describes it as "bacterial SSU rRNA". It matches the Rfam family "Bacterial small subunit ribosomal RNA", at positions 888 to 1382 of the family's 1533-position model. The record is from RNAcentral. Lineage: Bacteria; Pseudomonadati; Bacteroidota; Sphingobacteriia; Sphingobacteriales.
CCCGCUCAGAAACUUAAAGGAAUUGACGGGGCCCGCACAAGCGGUGGAGCAUGUGGUUUAAUUCGAUGAUACGCGAGGAACCUUACCUGGGCUCAAAUGUAUGUUGACGUAUUCUGAAAGGGAUACUUCUUCGGACAAUAUACAAGGUGCUGCAUGGUUGUCGUCAGCUCGUGCCGUGAGGUGUCGGGUUAAGUCCCAUAACGAGCGCAACCCCUAUCAUUAGUUGCCAUCAGGUCAAGCUGGGGACUCUAAUGAAACUGCCUACGCAAGUAGUGAGGAAGGUGGGGAUGACGUCAAAUCAGCACGGCCCUUACGUCCAGGGCUACACACGUGCUACAAUGGCCGGUACAAAGGGCAGCUACCUGGUGACAGGAUGCUAAUCUCAAAAGCCGGUCUCAGUUCGGAUUGAAGUCUGCAACUCGACUUCAUGAAGCUGGAAUCGCUAGUAAUCGUGGAUCAGCCAAGCCGCGGUGAAUACGUUCCCGGGCCUU